RNAcentral lists this ribosomal RNA (425 nucleotides) under uncultured bacterium. RNAcentral's name for it is "partial 16S ribosomal RNA". It matches the Rfam family "Bacterial small subunit ribosomal RNA", at positions 354 to 796 of the family's 1533-position model. The record is from RNAcentral.
GUGGGGAAUCUUGCGCAAUGGGCGAAAGCCUGACGCAGCCAUGCCGCGUGAAUGAUGAAGGUCUUAGGAUUGUAAAAUUCUUUCACCGGGGACGAUAAUGACGGUACCCGGAGAAGAAGCCCCGGCUAACUUCGUGCCAGCAGCCGCGGUAAUACGAAGGGGGCUAGCGUUGCUCGGAAUUACUGGGCGUAAAGGGCGCGUAGGCGGACAGUUUAGUCAGAGGUGCAAGCCCAGGGCUCAACCUUGGAAUUGCCUUUGAUACUGGCUGUCUUGAGUACGGGAGAGGUGAGUGGAACUCCGAGUGUAGAGGUGAAAUUCGUAGAUAUUCGGAAGAACACCAGUGGCGAAGGCGACUCACUGGCCCGUUACUGACGCUGAGGCGCGAAAGCGUGGGGAGCAAACAGGAUUAGAUACCCGUGUAGUCC